Molecule: non-coding RNA, 134 nt
Filed under: chicken gut metagenome
Description: SAM riboswitch (S box leader)
Rfam family: SAM riboswitch aptamer (S box leader)
About the family: The SAM riboswitch is found upstream of a number of genes which code for proteins involved in methionine or cysteine biosynthesis in Gram-positive bacteria.
Source: RNAcentral
CUUAUCAAGAGUGGCGGAGGGAUUGGCCCGAUGAAGCCCGGCAACCUGCCCGCAGGGGGCGCGUUCCAGCAUGGGAGAGCGCGUCCGGCGUGCGAGUAAGGUGCCAAGUCCAGCGGUUUAUCGCAAAGAUGAGG